AUGAAGAAGAAUGCAUCCCCUGGACCAGAUGGGCUGAAUGUAGCCUUCUACCUCUCAGCGUGGAAGUGGAUAGGAGAAGACAUAACCAAAUUAGUUCAAGAUUUCUACGCAAGGGGUAAGCUUCAUCCUCAGCUUAAUAAAACCUGUAUCACUUUAAUUCCAAAGAAAGAAAAUGCUAAAAUUCCUCAAGAUUUCAGGCCCAUUAGUCUUUGUAAUGUAGUUUAUAAAAUUAUCACCAAAACUUUGGCCAAUAGACUCAAAGAUCUUCUACCUGAUUAUAUCCAUGAGUCUCAGCAAGCUUUCAUACAAGGCAGGAGGGUUACUAAUAAUAUUGUUAUUGCUCAAGAAAUCACUCACUCCUUUCUGCUUAAAUCCUGGAAGCACAAAGCCUUUAUGCUUAAAAUAGAUUUGGCCAAAGCUUUUGACAGAAUUGAAUGGUGCUUUAUCAGAAGGGCGUUGUUCCGAAAAGGGCUGCAUUGUCAUUUCAUAGAUUUAAUCAUGGAAUGUAUCUCCUCUGCCACCUUUUCUGUUAUUAAUGGGCAACCGUUUGGCAGUUUUAAGGGAUCCCGAGGCAUUCGACAAGGUUGUCCCCUGUCACCGUAUCUUUUUAUUCUUGCAGUCAAUGAAUUGUCGCUUUCAAUGCAGGAGGCUUUAAAUGCCAAUCAUUUCAGCAGUAUCCAAUUAGGCCCAGGUUGCCCCCCUAUCCACUCUCUCAUGUUUGCGGACGACCUGAUUGUCUGUGGCAGAGCAGAUAAUAAUGAUGCCAAUACGACUGCUUUUAUUAUUAAUCAGUUUUGUGCUGUUUCUGGUCAAACCCCUAAUUGGAAUAAAUCUGCCAUACUUUUUAGUAAAAAUACUGAUGAUAAUUUGAGGAACCAAAUUAAGAAUAUCUUUCCUGCUCCUAAUAUGGAUUGUAAUACUACUCAUCUUGGCCAUCCUCUUAUUUUACCUGGUAAAAAUAGACCUGCAGCUUAUAAUUUUAUUAUUGAUAAGUUUAGAGCUAAACUUAAUUGCUAUAAGGCUAACAGGUUGUCUCAUGCAGGAAGACUCACUCUUAUUAAAUCUGUUUUUGCUUCCCUUCCUGUGUAUUACAUGUCUAAUAUCCUUUUAAGUAAAUCCACCAUUAAUAAACUCACUUCCAUAAUUAGAAAGUUCUGGUGGACAGGUAUUGAUAAGGAUAAUGCUUCCAAACCUAUCUGCUUUAGGGCUUGGGAUGAUAUUUGCAAACCUAUGCAUCAAGGUGGUCUAGGCAUUAGAGAUCUUUAUAUGAUGAAUAAGUCUAUGGUUGCUAUGAUGGCUUGGAGAGUUAUUAAGAGUCCUAAUUCUCUUGUUACGAAAGUUCUCAAAGCCAAAUAUUUUCAUAACUCUUCAAUUUGGAAAGUGAAUGGCAAUGUUCCUAAAUCUGCUUUCUGGUCCUCUAUUCUCAAAGUUCUUCCUUUCAUUAGCAAGGCUAGUCAUACUCAAAUUGCUAAUGGUAAUACUUGUAUUUGGACUAGUCCUUGGUGCAAUGAUUGGGACAAUAUUUAUGAUCACCUUAAACCUAAUCUAGGUAUCCCUUGUCCUAAAGUUGUUAGUGAUCUUUGGAAACCAAAUUGUAAGAGUUGGGAUGAGGAUAAAAUUAAUAUCUUUUUCGAUGAUAAUUUCAAGAGAAAUAUUUUACAAACUCCUAUCAUUAAUGCUAAUAUGGACGAUACUUUAUGUUGGAUUCAUACCCCUAAUGCGGAGUGUACCACUAAAAGUGCUUAUAAAGCUUUGAUGCAGGAGGCCCAACCCAGGUUACAAUCUCAAAGUCACACUAUUUCAGAUUCUGAAAUUUCUAUUCUCAAUCAGGUUUGGAAAAGCAAAAACCUGGCUCCAAGAGUCAAAACCUUUGCAUGGAGAAUUCUAAGAAGAGCUUUAGCUUCAGGGCUUAGGGGAUCCAGGUAUUCUACUCACAUUAAAAAGGAAUGUUGCAGGUGCGGCGAGACGGAGAGACUUGCAUCUUUUCUUUACUUGCAAUUUCACUAG
This 2007-nucleotide ribosomal RNA is filed under the name Triticum aestivum (bread wheat). RNAcentral's name for it is "partial small subunit ribosomal RNA". Lineage: Eukaryota; Viridiplantae; Streptophyta; Magnoliopsida; Poales; Poaceae. The record is from RNAcentral.